CGGGGCAUGGCGCAGUUUGGUAGCGCGUCCGCUUUGGGAGCGGAAGGUCGCAGGUUCAAAUCCUGUUGCCCCGA
Molecule: transfer RNA, 74 nt
Organism: Intrasporangium oryzae NRRL B-24470
Lineage: Bacteria; Bacillati; Actinomycetota; Actinomycetes; Micrococcales; Intrasporangiaceae
Rfam family: tRNA
About the family: Transfer RNA (tRNA) molecules are approximately 80 nucleotides in length.
Source: Rfam